CCCAGCUACUCAGGAGGCCAAAGCAGGAGAAUCACUGCUUGAGGCCAGGAGUUCAGACCGGCCUGGGCAACAUAGGGAGAAACCAUCUCUCCAGAAAAAAAAAAAAAGAGGAAGGAAUGACCCAAAGACCAUGCAUCCUGUGAUGCUGUGGAGGCUCCAAGCAGGCGAACACAGGACAGGCCAGCAUCUUGCAGGGACGCGGCGGGGGGUACCGUGUGUGCGUGCGUGUCACGCCCCGUGCAUGUGUGUGCAUAAGCUCCCCGGACACAUCCGGGGGUGUGGGUCCUGCGGGCUGCCUGUGCGCCAGGGAGGGGAGUCAGCAGGAGAGAGACUGUACGUCGUGCCUGCCUUUAAGUUCCCUGAAUUUUAAACCCUGUGGUUUUAUCACCUGUUAAGACAAAAAUCUCAAAAUGACUGUGUUUUCUGCCUCCUGGGU
This 436-nucleotide small RNA is filed under the name Pan troglodytes (chimpanzee). RNAcentral describes it as "processed transcript". The record is from RNAcentral. Lineage: Eukaryota; Metazoa; Chordata; Mammalia; Primates; Hominidae.